Molecule: non-coding RNA, 226 nt
Organism: Pelobates cultripes (western spadefoot toad)
Lineage: Eukaryota; Metazoa; Chordata; Amphibia; Anura; Pelobatidae
Source: the annotation of a GenBank genome assembly
ACUCCCACUCACUGUACUCCCUGCCACCACUAACUCAUACUCACUGCCACCAAUAACCCAUACUCACUAUACUCACUGCCACCACUAACUUGUACUCACUAUACCCACUGCUUCCUCUCACUCACUACACUCACUGCUAAUUCAAAGCUUGUCCAACAGGACCGUUGAUAUUAUAGUUCUUAUGUGUAUCCUUCAUUGUAAAGGACAUUCCAGGGUGGAGUUCUUG